UGGAGGAGGGGCCAGCGUGGAGGAGGGGCGGUGAGACUCUAAGAAGUAACCGUGGAAGCCCAGAUCAGAAGGGAAGCUGCCUAGGUAGACAGGACGCCAGGAGGGGACAGAUGGGGAAGACACCUACGCAGGGUUCCAUCCGUGGGGUAAUUGAUGCUGAUCUGGAGGAGCUGGUGAGCGGCCGGGGGCAUCCAUCAUCCACAGGACACAACGCACAGCCCUUUAAGCCAACACCAACAGUGACAAAUGGCACAGGCUGGGGACAGGCGGAAAGGAUGUGGACAGGAGAUCCAUCAACUUCCUCCUUGGGUCUCACCAGGGCCCAGAGGCCCAGAUCCCUUUUUGGUCUCCCACAGCAGAGUCAUUUUUCAGCAGGACUGGGUUGAAAGGCCAAUGUGGGGGGCACCGUGACAGUUUAGUGAUGGACACCCAGGGAGGCUGAUCCCAGGUCUGCCACCCUGACCCUGUAGCCCUGGGUGACUUUACACUGCCCUCGGUUCCUUCUCUACCUUCUACAGUUGAUGUAAAAUGUCAAAGACAGUGUGCGCCACGGGCCUGGGCAGGAGCGACUCAAUGAGUGUUUGUUGAGGGAGUGAAUAAAUGCGUAUCUGGGCUGCA
Molecule: long non-coding RNA, 618 nt
Organism: Ictidomys tridecemlineatus (thirteen-lined ground squirrel)
Lineage: Eukaryota; Metazoa; Chordata; Mammalia; Rodentia; Sciuridae
Source: RefSeq, a predicted model, not a curated record